AACCUGGUUGAUCCUGCCAGUAGUCAUAUGCUUGUCUCAAAGAUUAAGCCAUGCAUGUCUAAGUAUAAGCGACUAUACUGUGAAACUGCGAAUGGCUCAUUAAAUCAGUUAUGGUUUAUUUGAUGAUACCUACUACUUGGAUAACCGUAGUAAUUCUAGAGCUAAUACAUGCAGGAAGACCCGACUUCGGAAGGGUUGUAUUUAUUAGAUAAGAAACCAAUCCAGCUUGCUGGUUGCGUGCCGAGUCACAAUAACUGCUCGAAUCGCAUGGCUUUACGCCGGCGAUGGUUCAUUCAAAUUUCUGCCCUAUCAGCUUUCGAUGGUAGGAUCGAGGCCUACCAUGGCGUUUACGGGUAACGGAGAAUUAGGGUUCGAUUCCGGAGAGGGAGCCUGAGAGAUGGCUACCACAUCCAAGGAAGGCAGCAGGCGCGUAAAUUGCCCGAAUCCUGACACAGGGAGGUAGUGACAAGAAAUAACAAUACAGGGCUACAUAUAGUCUUGUAAUUGGAAUGAGUACAAUUUACAUCUCUUCACGAGGAUCAAUUGGAGGGCAAGUCUGGUGCCAGCAGCCGCGGUAAUUCCAGCUCCAAUAGC
This 594-nucleotide ribosomal RNA is filed under the name uncultured marine eukaryote. RNAcentral's name for it is "SSU rRNA". It matches the Rfam family "Eukaryotic small subunit ribosomal RNA", at positions 1 to 598 of the family's 1831-position model. The record is from RNAcentral.